Molecule: ribosomal RNA, 466 nt
Filed under: uncultured bacterium
Lineage: Bacteria
Description: partial 16S ribosomal RNA
Rfam family: Bacterial small subunit ribosomal RNA
Source: RNAcentral
GACGAACGCUGGCGGCGCGCCUAACACAUGCAAGUCGAACGAGCGAGAGAGAGCUUGCUUUCUUGAGCGAGUGGCGAACGGGUGAGUAACGCGUGAGGAACCUGCCUCAAAGAGGGGGACAACAGUUGGAAACGACUGCUAAUACCGCAUAAGCCCACGGUGCCGCAUGGCACAGAGGGAAAAGGAGCAAUCCGCUUUGAGAUGGCCUCGCGUCCGAUUAGCUAGUUGGUGAGGUAACGGCCCACCAAGGCGACGAUCGGUAGCCGGACUGAGAGGUUGAACGGCCACAUUGGGACUGAGACACGGCCCAGACUCCUACGGGAGGCAGCAGUGGGGAAUACUGCACAAUGGGGGAAACCCUGAUGCAGCGACGCCGCGUGGAGGAAGAAGGUCUUCGGAUUGUAAACUCCUGUUGUUGGGGAAGAUAAUGACGGUACCCAACAAGGAAGUGACGGCUAACUACGUG